Molecule: ribosomal RNA, 427 nt
Filed under: uncultured bacterium
Lineage: Bacteria
Description: bacterial SSU rRNA
Rfam family: Bacterial small subunit ribosomal RNA
Source: RNAcentral
UAAGGAAUAUUGGUCAAUGGACGAAAGUCUGAACCAGCCAUACCGCGUGCAGGAUGACUGCCCUAUGGGUUGUAAACUGCUUUUAGUAGAGAAGAAACGCAGUCAUCUAUGAUUGCCUGACGGUACCAACAGAAUAAGCACCGGCUAACUCCGUGCCAGCAGCCGCGGUAAUACGGAGGGUGCGAGCGUUAUCCGGAAUCACGGGGUUUAAAUGGUGCGUAGGCGGGGAAAUAAGUAAGUGGUGAAAUCUUGUCGCUUAACGAUAAAAUUGCUCUUGAUACUGAUUUUCUUGAAUUAGGUUGAGGUUAGCGUAAUGUGACAUGUAGCGGUGAAAUGCAUAGAUAUGUCAUGGAACACCAAUUGCGAAGGCAGCUAGCUGGGCCUUGAUUGACGCUGAGGCACGAGAGCGUGGGUAGCGAACAGGAUU